CCUCCGCUCCUUAAUUUAUUCAUAACAGCCAAGCGAGAACAACAUUGUUCUCGCGCGGUUUUGUAAUCACGCAACAGCUGCACGUCGGCGUCCCAAAUUAACAGGAACGACUUAUAUAGCUGCUAAUCGGACCCCGGAGGAGAGACGCUGUCGGACUUGCAGACGUAUUGAAUCAACAGAAAGUUGUAGCUUUCACAGUGGUCAAGAGGGACCUGGCCAGGUGCCUUUCAGAUUCCACCCCCGCUCAAGGAGUGGUUGACCGGAUGGGAUAUAUUCAGGAUUGUCUGGCUAAACCGGACUGGCGAGCUAACCAUUAGCGGAUCCAGGGAUAACUACUUCUAUCUUCUCUCUCUUUUCGAGCUGGAUGGAGAUGCAGCCCAAGAGUCUUCUCAGAAAGAACUGGAUUAUUUUCUUCACCAUUAACAAAGACUUAUCGACUUCCUUGUUUUGAGGAAAUCCUGUUGGACUAUAAACUGUGCUUUAAACUUGUAUAUACUGUACAUAGUAAUACACUUCACUGAUUGCACACCAUCUAACUGUGUCUGUGUUUUUACAAUCUGCCUCCACCUCCAGUAGACGAACCUAGAAGUUUUAACAAAUCACUUGAAUUUACUUUAAUUUGGAUUAUUCAAUUAAUAGUCCUAUAAUGUAACCUGGGUUACAUUUACUUGAAAUAAUGGAGUUCAAUGCCAGAUUUGUUUCCUACAUCUGACCAUUUCAAUAUAUUAUAAUCUUCUAACUCAGUUCAUUAAGUUUAUCUAUCUCAGUUUACUAAGUUUUUAUAACUUAAUUCAUUAAGUGUGUUUAACAUGACAAAUUUAAGUCACUCUUACUCAAAUCUUUCACUUCACUUUUGUCUAAAAUAAUUCAGACCUCUUUGACUAAAUUCUACACAAAGUCAACUCAAAUUUUUAAGCUGUUCCAAACUAAACGACUAAAAUAUCCAAAAUUACAUUAUCACUCACAUUGUACUUUAAAUACAACAGGUAACACAGGUGUGCAGAUUGACAGCUUCUGCUCAGACAAAACAGCAGCUGAAUGACUGUAUGUGCAUUAUAACCAUAAGUUUAAUGUUGUUAUGCACGCAAUUAUGUUUCUGUAAACCAUGUGUAUAUUUUGUUGACUUAUUAUGAGUUUAUUUCACUGUUUCUGUUUAUAUUAAGCUAUGCAUGUGGCAGUUAGCUAUCAUAAGGGAAUUAUUACUGAUUUCUGUCUAGCAGAUAUUUCAGUUAUUGUGUUGCUACUUCUAUGAUAAUGAUGAUAAUGUGCCUUUGCUGUAAAGCUGCAUGCUGUGUGUUAAUUCAUAACAUCUGAUCUUAAGGUUAAACAACCAGUCUGAGGUAAUAUGCCAGCUUAUUUAGCUGUAUGGUGUAUUUAAGUUCAGCUUCGCUGUAUCGUUAUGUUUAUGUUGUAACUUUGUGUUGCUCACCUUUUUCAAUGGGACAGGUGUUUGGGGUUAUGCUUGUAUCAGGAUUAGAGCUGCUGCUGACUGACUCACAUGUUAAGUGGUAAAAGGUACAGGUAGAAGUUAAAUAUAUGAAUAUGACUGUCAUGUCAAUUUGUGACAUGACAGUCUACAACUGUCUUGUUACAUUUAAUGUAGCUUGUCAAGCUGCCUAGGAAUAUAAACUAAACAUACUUGUUACUUUCUGCUAUGUUGACUUGAAUAAUACUUUCAAGAACUAGCAGAGCCUUUGGGCUCACUGCAUGUUCAAUAUUGCAUGUUUACAAACUAUUUCAGUUUUAUAGGACUUAUAAAUAGUUACAUUUUAUUUAGCAACAUGUUAGCAGAGUCAUGAUAUGAGCAGAAGUUGAUGUAGUUCAAUAAAGACUUUAAAUACUUUGAGCACAAUUUAUUUGUACAUCAUGACAAACAUUAAACUCUCAGUCUUACACAAAGAAAAUUAUAAUAUGUACAAAUUAUAAUAUGUAAAUAUAAAAUACAAAUGUACAAAAGUAACAUGUUCACAUUUGUUCUUGCUGCAACACCUGCACUUGAGCAAAAUAUAAAUUACAGUCAGUCACUGCUGUACUUCAGGAGAUGCAGUUACUGUCAAUGUGACCAUAUUAAUAAACAGUUAAUAAACAAAACUUCAGUAAAUUUACAUUCCAGUUGUUUAUCAUGUGUCACAUAGCAGGUGGUAGAGAAGGAGGUAGUAGACGGCAGGUUGACGUUGAUACUCUUUCAUCUUGUUAUUAAUGCUUCUGUUGCUUUUUCUGAUACACUUACAAUGUGUAUAAUGGAAGAGCUUUAUGGAUUUAAAAUGCUACCACACAUACAGUUCACAGCGGAUCACA
Poecilia reticulata (guppy) is the source of this 2298-nucleotide non-coding RNA. Lineage: Eukaryota; Metazoa; Chordata; Actinopteri; Cyprinodontiformes; Poeciliidae. The record is from RefSeq and is a predicted model, not a curated record.